CAUUAAAGAGUUCUAUAACUCCCAAACCCAUGUGAACAUACCUAACGUUGCCUCGGCAGGUCGCACCUACCUUGUAGCACCCUACCCUGUAGGGCCUACCCGGGAGGUGCGGGUAAGCCUGCCGGCGGCCCACCAAACUCUGUUUGAUAUUGAAUUCUGAACCUAUAACUAAAUAAGUUAAAACUUUCAACAACGGAUCUCUUGGUUCUGGCAUCGAUGAAGAACGCAGCGAAAUGCGAUAAGUAAUGUGAAUUGCAGAAUUCAGUGAAUCAUCGAAUCUUUGAACGCAUAUUGCGCCCAUUAGUAUUCUAGUGGGCAGGACCGUUCGAGCGUCAUUUCAACCCUUAAGCCUUCGUUGCUUAGUGUUGGGAGCCUACGGCAACGUAGCUCCUCAAAGUUAGUGGCGGAGUUGGUUCACACUCUAGACGUAGUAAUUUUUUAUCUCGCCUAUUAGUUGGACUAAUCCCCUGCCGUAAAACCCCUAAUUUAUCAAGGUUGACCUCGAAUCGGUUCAGACAAACUCGCUAAAUUGAAGCAUCUUAGUCAGCGAAGGAAAAGAAACCAACAGGGAUUGCCCUAGUAACGGCGAGUGAAGCGGCAACAGCUCAAAUUUGAAAUCUGGCCCUCGGGUCCGAGUUGUAAUUUGUAGAGGAUGCUUUUGGCGCGGUGCCUUCCGAGUUCCCUGGAACGGGACGCCUUAGAGGGUGAGAGCCCCGUACGGUUGGACACCAAGCCUCUGUAAAGCUCCUUCGACGAGUCGAGUAGCUUGGGAAUGCUGCUCUAAAUGGGAGGUAAAUUUCUUCUAAAGCUAAAUAUUGGCCAGAGACCGAUAGCGCACAAGUAGAGUGAUCGAAAGAUGAAAA
Molecule: ribosomal RNA, 863 nt
Filed under: fungal endophyte
Lineage: Eukaryota; Fungi
Description: eukaryotic LSU rRNA
Rfam family: Eukaryotic large subunit ribosomal RNA (bases 497-863)
Source: RNAcentral